This 997-nucleotide small RNA is filed under the name Arabidopsis thaliana (thale cress). RNAcentral describes it as "ATSL065540". The record is from RNAcentral. Lineage: Eukaryota; Viridiplantae; Streptophyta; Magnoliopsida; Brassicales; Brassicaceae.
CUCCAAAUUCAUGUUUACUAGCCUUUUUCUAUAUACCUAGAGUAAAUCAAUAAAUUGAGAAAAUCUUACGAAAUUUUCGGUUUUAAAAUUCGUCAGAUGUGAUAACAUCUUACAACUUUAAUUUAUUCAGCCUGAAUAAUAUUUUUUAAUUUAAAUUCUUUUUUUGUUCUGAGAACAUCUAACAACUUUAAUUUAUUCAGUUUUGUUUCGACCCAUUAAGUAGUUAAGCUCUUUAAAUCGUCUCGUAAAUGUUAAAUAUUUUUCCUCUGCAUUUAAAGUCAUCUUUAUUUGUCAGCAAGACCUUUACACACAUCACUUGUCGAAUUUCUAUUGACGUUGACGUGAUUGCCUAGAAUGAUAGUAUUUACAUGUAUAGAGUCUUUCAGUACUGACAAUACAGUCUAAAUAAAUCCAAUUACUUUUAUUUCCUUUAAUUUGUAUAUUGCAAUUUUUGCAACUUCCUCAAAUAAGUCACAAAAGUACUAUUAUUAAUUUGCUUUUCAUUAGUAAUACAGAUAAUAGUAUAAAACUAAAAAGAAAUUUAACCAAAAAGUAAAAAAGUUAUAGAAAAUGGAGGAUUUAUUAGCGAAUUCUCGGGAAAAUGGCGUAUAUCAACCUUAACUAUUUGUACGGUAGUUUUUCUACCCAAAUAAAGAUAUAGUGCCUUUUUUCCCAAACAUCUCAAAAAUUGAAAAAAUCUACCCCAACUCUUCAUGCGUAAAUCAAAGUCGUCGAUAACGGAAGUUAAUCAACCGUUAGUGUGGAUUACUUAGCUGACAAAUGUGGAGCAAAAUUGACAAGGUAGCAUAUUUCUCCUUAUUACAAGGUACAACUACGUUAUUACUGACAUUUAUACCAUACCACAAAAAUCCACGAUAAACAAAUAUUACAUAUACCAUGCUCACAAUAUAAAUAAAACUUUAUUUUAAAUAAAUAAGACCACGAUGAUUACAUAUUUCACGCUAGAGAUGUCCAUAAGUUAUAUUUUUAAUUUUUU